This 173-nucleotide unclassified non-coding RNA is filed under the name uncultured Penicillium. Its description in RNAcentral is "sequence contains ITS1". The record is from RNAcentral. Lineage: Eukaryota; Fungi; Ascomycota; Eurotiomycetes; Eurotiales; Aspergillaceae.
CCGAGUGAGGGCCCUCUGGGUCCAACCUCCCACCCGUGUCUCUUGUACCUCGUUGCUUCGGCGAGCCCGCCUCACGGCCGCCGGGGGGCAUCCGCCCCUGGGCCCGCGCCCGCCGAAGACACCCACGAACUCUGUCUGAAGAUUGUAGUCUGAGUGAAAUGAUAAAUUAUUUA